GACGAACGCUGGCGGCGUGCUUAACACAUGCAAGUCGAACGGAAAGGCCCCUUUGGGUGUACUCGAGUGGCGAACGGGUGAGUAACACGUGAGUAACCUGCCCUUGACUUCGGGAUAACUUCAGGGAACUGGGGCUAAUACCGGCUAAGAAUCCUUGCUGCAUGGUGGGGGUUGGACAGCUUCGGCGGUUUUGGAUGGACUGGCGGCUUAUCAGCUUGUUGGUGGGGUAGUGGCUUACCAAGGCUUUGACGGGUAGCCGGCCUGAGAGGGCGACCGGCCACAUUGGGACUGAGAUACGGCCCAGACUCCUACGGGAGGCAGCAGUGGGGAAUAUUGCACAAUGGGCGGAAGCCUGAUGCAGCAACGCCGCGUGCGGGAUGACGGCCUUCGGGUUGUAAACCGCUUUCAGCAGGGGCGAAGCUUGUGGUGACGGUACCUGCAGAAGAAGCACCGGCUAACUACGUG
Molecule: ribosomal RNA, 465 nt
Filed under: uncultured bacterium
Lineage: Bacteria
Description: partial 16S ribosomal RNA
Rfam family: Bacterial small subunit ribosomal RNA
Source: RNAcentral